RNAcentral lists this ribosomal RNA (540 nucleotides) under Streptomyces sp. SID10362. Its description in RNAcentral is "bacterial SSU rRNA". It matches the Rfam family "Bacterial small subunit ribosomal RNA", at positions 1 to 553 of the family's 1533-position model. The record is from RNAcentral. Lineage: Bacteria; Bacillati; Actinomycetota; Actinomycetes; Kitasatosporales; Streptomycetaceae.
CAUUCACGGAGAGUUUGAUCCUGGCUCAGGACGAACGCUGGCGGCGUGCUUAACACAUGCAAGUCGAACGAUGAACCACCUUCGGGUGGGGAUUAGUGGCGAACGGGUGAGUAACACGUGGGCAAUCUGCCCUGCACUCUGGGACAAGCCCUGGAAACGGGGUCUAAUACCGGAUACUGACCUGCCAAGGCAUCUUGGCGGGUCGAAAGCUCCGGCGGUGCAGGAUGAGCCCGCGGCCUAUCAGCUUGUUGGUGAGGUAAUGGCUCACCAAGGCGACGACGGGUAGCCGGCCUGAGAGGGCGACCGGCCACACUGGGACUGAGACACGGCCCAGACUCCUACGGGAGGCAGCAGUGGGGAAUAUUGCACAAUGGGCGAAAGCCUGAUGCAGCGACGCCGCGUGAGGGAUGACGGCCUUCGGGUUGUAAACCUCUUUCAGCAGGGAAGAAGCGAAAGUGACGGUACCUGCAGAAGAAGCGCCGGCUAACUACGUGCCAGCAGCCGCGGUAAUACGUAGGGCGCAAGCGUUGUCCGGAAUUA